GAUGAACGCUGGCGGCGUGCCUAAUACAUGCAAGUCGAACGCUUGAGAUCUAGCUUGCUAGAUCGAAGGAGUGGCGAACGGGUGAGUAAUACAUAAGCAACCUACCCACGAAGACUGGGAUAAUCUCUGGAAACGGGGACUAAUACCGGAUAGGUAAUCGGAAGGCAUCUUCUGGUUAUUAAAGGUUAAAAACACUGGUGGAUGGGCUUAUGGCGCAUUAGUUAGUUGGUGAGGUAACGGCCCACCAAGACGAUGAUGCGUAGCCGGCCUGAGAGGGUGAACGGCCACAUUGGGACUGAGACACGGCCCAGACUCCUACGGGAGGCAGCGGUAGGGAAUUUUCGGCAAUGGGGGCAACCCUGACCGAGCAACGCCGCGUGAGUGAAGACGGCCUUCGGGUUGUAAAGCUCUGUUGUAAGGGAAGAACGGUAGAUAGAGAAUAUCUAAGUGACGGUACCUUACCAGAAAGCCACGGCUAACUACGUG
RNAcentral lists this ribosomal RNA (486 nucleotides) under uncultured bacterium. RNAcentral describes it as "partial 16S ribosomal RNA". It matches the Rfam family "Bacterial small subunit ribosomal RNA", at positions 28 to 507 of the family's 1533-position model. The record is from RNAcentral.